RNAcentral lists this unclassified non-coding RNA (380 nucleotides) under uncultured Sphingomonadaceae bacterium. Its description in RNAcentral is "contains 16S-23S intergenic spacer region". The record is from RNAcentral. Lineage: Bacteria; Pseudomonadati; Pseudomonadota; Alphaproteobacteria; Sphingomonadales; Sphingomonadaceae.
UCCGGCUUAUCACCGUCAGUUUCUUUAGAGUGCCCAACUAAAUGGUGGCAACUAAAGACGAGGGUUGCGCUCGUUGCGGGACUUAACCCAACAUCUCACGACACGAGCUGACGACAGCCAUGCAGCACCUGUGUCCAGGUCCCGUAAGGGGAGGAAUCCAUCUCUGGAAACCGUCCUACCAUGUCAAACGCUGGUAAGGUUCUGCGCGUUGCUUCGAAUUAAACCACAUGCCCCACCGCUUGUGCAGGCCCCCGUCAAUUUCUUUGAGUUUUAGCCUUGCGGCCGUACUCCCCAGGCGGGGCACUUAAUGCGUUAGCUACGGCACGGAAGGCGUUGAUAACCCCCCACACCUAGUGCCCAACGUUUACGGCGUGGACUAC